AGAGUUUGAUCAUGGCUCAGGACGAACGCUGGCGGCGUGCUUAAUACAUGCAAGUCGAGCGGACCUUUGCCGUUUGUUGCUGGUUUCCAGCGACAAGCUGCAAAGGUUAGCGGCGAACGGGUGAGUAACACGUGGGUAAUCUGCCCCCAAGACCGGGAUAACAGAGCGAAAGCGCUGCUAAUACCGGAUGACCUCUCUUUAUCGCAUGGUGGAGGGAGCAAAGCGUAAGCGCUUGGGGAUGAGCCCGCGUUCCAUUAGCUAGUUGGUGAGGUAACGGCUCACCAAGGCGACGAUGGAUAGCCGGCCUGAGAGGGUGACCGGCCACACUGGGACUGAGACACGGCCCAGACUCCUACGGGAGGCAGCAGUAGGGAAUUUUCGGCAAUGGGGGAAACCCUGACCGAGCAACGCCGCGUGAGGGAUGAAGGCCUUCGGGUCGUAAACCUCUGUCUUUGGGGACGAUAAUGACGGUACCCGAGGAGGAAGCCCCGGCUAACUACGUGCCAGCAGCCGCGGUAAU
This 520-nucleotide ribosomal RNA is filed under the name uncultured bacterium. Its description in RNAcentral is "bacterial SSU rRNA". It matches the Rfam family "Bacterial small subunit ribosomal RNA", at positions 8 to 524 of the family's 1533-position model. The record is from RNAcentral.